This 628-nucleotide ribosomal RNA is filed under the name uncultured fungus. Its description in RNAcentral is "eukaryotic LSU rRNA". It matches the Rfam family "Eukaryotic large subunit ribosomal RNA", at positions 23 to 664 of the family's 3401-position model. Lineage: Eukaryota; Fungi. The record is from RNAcentral.
ACCCGCUGAACUUAAGCAUAUCAAUAAGCGGAGGAAAAGAAACCAACAGGGAUUACCUCAGUAACGGCGAGUGAAGCGGUAAUAGCUCAAAUUUGAAAUCUGGCUCUUUCAGGGUCCGAGUUGUAAUUUGUAGAGGAUGUUUCGGGCACGGUUGCGGUUUAAAUUUCUUGGAACAGAAUGUCAAAGAGGGUGAGAGUCCCGUCUUGAACCGAUUACUUCGUCCAUGUGAAACUCCUUCGACGAGUCGAGUUGUUUGGGAAUGCAGCUCAAAAUGGGUGGUAAAUUUCAUCUAAAGCUAAAUAUUGGCCAGAGACCGAUAGCGCACAAGUAGAGUGAUCGAAAGAUGAAAAGCACUUUGAAAAGAGAGUUAAACAGUAUGUGAAAUUGUUGAAAGGGAAGCGCUUGUAAUCAGACUUGAGCUUAACAGUUCCCCCUUCGUUCUCGUUGGGUUAUUCUGUUUUGUCCAGGCCAACAUCAGUUCGGGUGGUUGGUUAAAGACUUUAGGAAUGUAUCUACCUUUCGGGGUCGACUUAUAGCCUAGAGUGUCAUGCAGCCUACCUGGACUGAGGAACGCGCUUCGGCUCGGAUGUUGGCGUAAUGGUUAUAAGCGACCCGUCUUGAAACACGG